Molecule: ribosomal RNA, 303 nt
Filed under: uncultured bacterium
Lineage: Bacteria
Description: partial 16S ribosomal RNA
Rfam family: Bacterial small subunit ribosomal RNA
Source: RNAcentral
AGCAGUAGCCGCGGUAAUACGAAGGGGGCUAGCGUUGUUCGGAAUUACUGGGCGUAAAGCGCACGUAGGCGGACUUUUAAGUCAGGGGUGAAAUCCCGGGGCUCAACCUCGGAACUGCCUUUGAUACUGGAAGUCUUGAGUGUGGAAGAGGUAAGUGGAAUUGCGAGUGUAGAGGUGAAAUUCGUAGAUAUUCGCAGGAACACCAGUGGCGAAGGCGGCUUACUGGUCCACAACUGACGCUGAGGUGCGAAAGCGUGGGGAGCAAACAGGAUUAGAUACCCCGGUAGUCCCUGUCUCUUAUAC